Rosa rugosa (rugosa rose) is the source of this 3571-nucleotide long non-coding RNA. RefSeq lists it as uncharacterized. The transcript is spliced from 3 exons. NCBI's taxonomy places the organism in Eukaryota, Viridiplantae, Streptophyta, Magnoliopsida, Rosales, Rosaceae. The record is from RefSeq and is a predicted model, not a curated record.
CAAAAAUUUCAGUAGUUUAAGAGAAAUUAAAAACCUUUCCCCAAAUCUGACCCAAUUCUAAAAUCAAUCCUAGACCAGAUCCAAUGUUCUAAAACUCGGCCGCCCAAGCCGCCUAGGCGGGGCCUGGGGACUGGGCGGCGGCACUCCUAUUCCAUUAAUAUCAAAUCGGCAGGGUUGGGUGGGAAUAAGUUCAGCGGUUGCCCAAGCUGCCUGGGUGGUUGAUUAGUCGCCUGGGCGGGAGGUGGUUAGGCCCUAAGUGAACGUCGACCACGGCAUGUCUCUCCCUCCCCCCCUCCCCCCCGGCGUCGCCGCCUCCUGACUUCUCAAUCCGAUUAUGAGGUUUAGAACUUCAUCUCCAAUUUUGCUUCUCUCUCUCUCAAUCUUUAGCCUUUGUCUUUAUCUCUCCUUGUUAUUAAGUUUCAAUCAAAUUCGAUCAGCUCUUCGUUCUUUGGAUGGGUCUAUUGAUUGGAUUAAUUGAUUGGGUCUUCUGAAAUUAUUGUUUCUUAAUUGAUUGGGUAUAUGAAAUCCAUGUUUGGCUUGUUGUAGCUGUUGAUUGUUUGGAAUUGAAUCAAGUGAUGCUUCGCUAAUGCAAUUGCCAUUUUUUUAAUGUUUAUUAAAACAAUUGCUGAUUGUUUGAAAAUCCAGUGGAUGAUCUUUUUCAUGGGGGAAAAAAUCUUGUAGAUUAUCCAAACAUAGAAAAUGGUGGUGUUGAGUGCACUGUGUGCUUUAAUCCAGUUUGAACUCAAAGUUGCAGACUUUGUUUCUAAUUACUUCCUAUAUAUUCCAACUUUCUAAGUGAGCAAGUUUACUAUGUAGCAGUGUGGUGUUUUGUUGUUUAUGUUGUUAUCUUCAUUUUCAUUGAACUGGUUCAGACUGAGUGUACUGUGACUCUACGAGUCUGGGAAAAAAGUGGAAAUUGGGUUGUUUAGCGAGGUUGAUAGAUUCUUCGGUUAUAAAGAGAUUGCCAAUUAAGUAAAGUUUUGUAUAGAACUACAGAUAAGUUUUCUGUUGCCGUUAAUAAUGGCAAGACUCUUAUCUACUUAAUCAUGAAAAGUGUUCUUUUAGAAGACUAACAGUACACCCUCCAGCCUUCCAUAAUUGUCAUAAACUCAUGACCACAUCGGAGUCCACUCGUCACCGGAGCUCACCUUGGACCUCUCGUUCUCGUUGACGAUCAAGGUCGAUCAGCUCUCUGAUCCGCCGCCGGUCAUGGUUAAGCAUAUAGAAGUAAUCGACUAUGUUGUAACGGAAACCGCCUAGAGCAAGAGAGAAAGAAAGACGAAUUUUCUGCAGCACUGAUUUCGUUAGGCGAGGAAUCAAAAUUCUCUCUCUACGGCGACAUUGGACGAUGGUGACCGGUUUGGUUGGAGAAGCUUCCGCGGAAGCUAAGAUUGGCGGCCUGGACUGACCGGAUGUGCGAGGCAGGAAGAGAGAAUUUCAAUUUGUUGUGUUAGGUUCCCAAAUCAAAUGUCUUUUUUUUUUUUUUUGGUAAACUAUGGGCAGAAAUCAGAGAAGGAAAAGAAAAGAAAAAAAAAAGUUAUAUUGGAGGGCAAUAGAGGUUCAUUAAAGAUCUAUUGGGGGGCAAUAGACAUAUUGAAUUGAUGUAAUCUCCUCGUUUUUUUUUUCUCUUUAAUCAAAGUUUUAUUUGUCUAACUUUAGGAAGAUUAGUUUCCUAUUCCGAUGACCGAAAGUCCUAUUGGGGGACAAUAGACGUCUAUUGAGGACAAUAAACCUUUCCAGCGACCUUUGACAUCUGUGACGACCUUUGAUGAGGUUUUCAGAAAAGUCUGGUGGGCGGAGUCUUGUAACCAGAAUUUGGCGACUGAUGAUCGGAUUCCGGUGAAAGUUGGCCGGAAUCCGGCCAUCGGUGACUGGGCUCCAGCGAAGUCUCCUAUGGUUUUUUUUUCUCUCUCUCUAAGUAACAAAGGGAUGAGGGUAAAAAAAAUCUCAAAAAAAAAAAAAAAUUAAUGGGUUAUUAAGGAAGACUUUUUUGAGAAGAAGUUUGAGAAGAGUAUUAAGGAAGACUUCCUUAUAGUGUUUUGUAGGUUUUGGGUAAAGGGGAAUUACAAAAACUUAAUGGGGUAAGUGGGAAAAAAAUAUUUAGAAAUGGGAUAAAUGGACAAAAACCCUUAUAUAUAUUCUUCAAGAUACAAAUAAAUGCUAUAAAAAUAAAAUUAAAAUUAAAAUUGAAAAAUAUAAAACCGCCUAGGUGUCAGGGGGCUAGCUAGUUCCCUGGCCACUGCUCGACUAGUGCCUAGUGAUUUGUCUGGUGACCAAUGACCGGAUUCCGGCGAAAGUUGGCCGGAUUCCUACCACCAGUGACCGAAAUACGGCCAUCAUUGACGGGGCUCCGGCGAGGUCUCCUAUGGUUUUUCUCUCUAUCUCUCUCUUUCUAAGUAACAAAGGGAUGAGAGUAAAAAAGUCUUUAAAAAAAAAUUAAUGGGGUAUUAAGGAAGACUUUCUUAAAGUGUUUUGGGUAAUGGGAAAUUACAAAAACUUAAUGGGGUAAGUGAGAAAAAAAUCUUUAGAAAUGGGGUAAAUGGACAAAAAACCCUUAUAUAUUCUUCAAGAUACAAAUAAAUGCUAUAAAAAUAAAAUUCAAAUUCAAAAAUAUAAAAUCGCCUAGGCGUCUGGGGGCUAGUUCCCUGGGCCCUGGCCACUGCCCGACUAGCGCCUAGCGACUUUUCAAACAUUGACAAGAUCCAAUCUUUAGCCCAAGCCCACUCCAACCUCUUGGCUCUUGCUGCAAUCCAAUCCCCCAAUCACCUUCGCUGAGAUUGGAUCUGAUCCCCUCGAUAGUCGUUGUUCGAUCUGCAAAUGACAAUCUCAAACAAACACUAUCGAUCCUCUGUAAACAACCACUAAGCCAUUAAGCCAAAAAAAUUAGCGUUGGGCAUUUGGCACCAGAAAUCCGGUUACUGAGCCGACCGAACCUCAAAUUCCGGUGCGGCAACCGAUCCACAUUCAAAACGAUGCCGUUCUGAGAACACACCGAACCGAACCGCUCCACUUCGGGUCGGAAUCGGGUCCAGGUGUCGAACUGACCGGAUUAAAACCGACCGACCCGAAUUUAAAUUAAUUAUAUAUUUUCAAUUAUUUUUAAUACCUAUCAAUCUCUGAUUGGCCCUAAGGCCAAGCUUACCUAGACUUGGCCACACUCGAUCUGACAAAAACCCUAAAGAGGGUAAGACCCCAAAGUGGCCGCAUUCGACCUGUUCUCUCACUCUCUCCUCUCACUCUCUCCUUCGAGGCCAGCCGAAGCCUUCGACGACUGACCGUUGACGGCGCCGGUGCCGGUGCUUUGUCUCACUACUCAGGAGAUCGAGAUCUGCAAGGUGGAUUUCCUUCGAGCCCAGCCGAAGUCUUUGACCAUAUCCUCUCACUAUUCAGGAGUUUGAGAACUGCAAGCUGGUUUGGUGUUUAGGGUUACUGGGUAUCAAAUGAGAGAGGAUGAUUGGUUGGUGGGUUACUGGAAUACUGGGUUUACUUGAUUAGUGACUCGAUGAAUGGGGCUGAAUCGGCAGAUUGGAGCUGCAUUUAUUGUACCUGUUGCAGCUUGCUUGUUGUCUAU